AUUGAACGCUGGCGGCAUGCCUUACACAUGCAAGUCGAACGGCAGCGGGCCUUCGGGUGCCGGCGAGUGGCGAACGGGUGAGUAAUGCAUCGGAACGUGCCCUGGAAUGGGGGGAUAACGUAGCGAAAGUUACGCUAAUACCGCAUAUUCUGUGAGCAGGAAAGCAGGGGAUCGCAAGACCUUGCGUUCUGGGAGCGGCCGAUGUCGGAUUAGCUAGUUGGUGGGGUAAAAGCCUACCAAGGCGACGAUCCGUAGCGGGUCUGAGAGGAUGAUCCGCCACACUGGGACUGAGACACGGCCCAGACUCCUACGGGAGGCAGCAGUGGGGAAUAUUGCGCAAUGGGCGAAAGCCUGACGCAGCCACGCCGCGUGAGUGAUGAAGGCCUUCGGGUUGGUAAAGACUCUGUCGCAGGGGAAGGAAACCGUAGACGGUACCCGUCGCAAGAAAGACACCGGCUAACUCUGUGCCAGCAG
Molecule: ribosomal RNA, 474 nt
Filed under: uncultured bacterium
Lineage: Bacteria
Description: bacterial SSU rRNA
Rfam family: Bacterial small subunit ribosomal RNA
Source: RNAcentral